AUUCGAUAAAAUUUUGUCUAUUAAGGGAGGAGGUAUUUGGAGGUAAAGGAAGAAUUUUUAAAGUAAUAAGAUUGUUUGAGAAGAAGUUUGUAAACCACACUUUUUCAGUCUACCAAAUGGGUAGGUUUGGAAGGUUUUCAUACUUAAAUUAUUUUAUUUUACCCUACCUUACCUUUAAUUGGUGUGGUCUGAUUGAGAUCCCAUAUGGGGGGGCG
Molecule: unclassified non-coding RNA, 215 nt
Filed under: Hevea brasiliensis (rubber tree)
Lineage: Eukaryota; Viridiplantae; Streptophyta; Magnoliopsida; Malpighiales; Euphorbiaceae
Source: RNAcentral